UACGAGGGGGGCAAGCGUUGUUCGGAAUUAUUGGGCGUAAAGGGUGUGUAGGCGGUUUGGUAAGUCUUCUGUGAAAUCUACAGGCUCAACUUGUAGUCUGCAUGAGAAACUGCCGGGCUUGAGUAUGGGAGAGGUGAGUGGAAUUCCUGGUGUAGCGGUGAAAUGCGUAGAUAUCAGGAGGAACACCUGUGGCGAAAGCGGCUCACUGGACCAUAACUGACGCUGAUGCACGAAAGCUAGGGGAGCAAACAGG
Molecule: ribosomal RNA, 253 nt
Filed under: uncultured bacterium
Lineage: Bacteria
Description: partial 16S ribosomal RNA
Rfam family: Bacterial small subunit ribosomal RNA
Source: RNAcentral